This is a non-coding RNA of Heterocephalus glaber (naked mole-rat), 315 nucleotides long. The record is from Rfam. Lineage: Eukaryota; Metazoa; Chordata; Mammalia; Rodentia; Bathyergidae.
GGGUGUGAGAGCGAUCUGGCUGCAACAUCUGUCACCCCAUUGAUCUCCAGGGUUGAUUCGGCUGAUCUGGCUGGCUAGGUGGGUGUCCCCUUCCUCCCUCACCAUUCCAUGCGUGUCGCUCCAGAAGCUGCGUGCUGGGUCGAAGAGGAUGACCACCCCUGAUAGAGGAGGACCGUUUCCUCGGUCAAGGGUAUAGGAGCAGCUGCGUUCCCCUACUAGAACCUCCAAUCAAGCUCUCAAGAAUAAACACAUAGAUCAAUGAAAUGGGAUAAAAGUCCCUAAGAUACACUGUUUAAAUAUAGUCCACUAAUUGUU